Molecule: ribosomal RNA, 419 nt
Filed under: Ostrea oleomargarita
Lineage: Eukaryota; Metazoa; Mollusca; Bivalvia; Ostreida; Ostreidae
Description: Ostrea sp. o MG-2022 partial large subunit ribosomal RNA
Rfam family: Bacterial large subunit ribosomal RNA
Source: RNAcentral
GGGUUAAAAGCCGUAAACGGCCGCCCUAGCGGUGAGGGUGCUAAGGUAGCGAAAUUCCUUGCCUUUUAAUUGUAGGCCUGCAUGAAUGGCUUGACGAGGGCUUGACUGUCUCUAGUUUUGGAAUCUAAAUUGGAUUAAAGGUGAAGAUACCUUUAUAUAAAAGUUAGACAAGAAGACCCCGUGCAACUUUUAAAGUCAGCUUAUUAAGAAGUUCAAGAUUUUUAGGUGGGGCGCCUACUGAGUAAUAAUAACCUCUGUGUAAUAGUGAAACUUUCAAGUGUAGACCCGGCAAUGCCGAUCAUAGGAGAAGUUACGCCGGGGAUAACAGGCUAAUUCACUAGUAGAGAACGUAUUGGCUAGUGAGAUUGGCACCUCGAUGUUGAAUCAGGGAUGAUACCUUUAAGGCGUAGAAGCUUUAA